Molecule: ribosomal RNA, 299 nt
Filed under: uncultured soil bacterium
Lineage: Bacteria
Description: partial 16S ribosomal RNA
Rfam family: Bacterial small subunit ribosomal RNA
Source: RNAcentral
AGAUUGAACGCUGGCGGCAUGCCUUACACAUGCAAGUCGAACGGUAGAGUAGCAAUACUUGAGAGUGGCGAACGGGUGAGUAAUAUAUCGGAACGUGCCCAGUCGUGGGGGAUAACGUAGAGAAAUUUACGCUAAUACCGCAUACGAUCUAAGGAUGAAAGCGGGGGACCGUAAGGCCCCGCGCGAUUGGAGCGGCUGAUAUCAGAUUAGGUUGUUGGUGAGGUAAAAGCUCACCAAGCCGACGAUCUGUAGCUGGUUUGAGAGAACGACCAGCCACACUGGGACUGGACACGACCCGA